GUGGAAGUAGCUCAGCUGGUUAGAGCAUGAGAUUGUGGUUCUCAGGGUCGCGGGUUCGAAUCCCGUCUUCCACC
This 74-nucleotide transfer RNA is filed under the name Phycisphaerae bacterium. RNAcentral's name for it is "tRNA-His". It matches the Rfam family "tRNA". Rfam says of the family: Transfer RNA (tRNA) molecules are approximately 80 nucleotides in length. Lineage: Bacteria; Pseudomonadati; Planctomycetota; Phycisphaerae. The record is from RNAcentral.